Molecule: transfer RNA, 66 nt
Filed under: Modiolus nipponicus
Lineage: Eukaryota; Metazoa; Mollusca; Bivalvia; Mytilida; Modiolidae
Description: tRNA-Phe
Source: RNAcentral
GAGGUUAGUAGCUUAAACAAAGCGCUUUGUUGAAAACGAAGAAGAUGGUCUUUAUGCCCAGUCUCA